RNAcentral lists this small nuclear RNA (185 nucleotides) under Paramuricea clavata. RNAcentral describes it as "U2 spliceosomal RNA". It matches the Rfam family "U2 spliceosomal RNA". From Rfam's summary of the family: U2 is a small nuclear RNA (snRNA) component of the spliceosome (involved in pre-mRNA splicing). Lineage: Eukaryota; Metazoa; Cnidaria; Anthozoa; Malacalcyonacea; Plexauridae. The record is from Rfam by way of RNAcentral.
AUAGGUUUUCUUUAUUCAUAAUUAAAAAAUCUCUGUUCUUAUCAGCUUAAUAUCUGAUAUGUUAGGCAAUGCCUAACUCAUAUAUUAAACUGAUUUUUGGACUUCGGCCAUGGGAUUGAAGCUUGCUUCACCCUGGCCACAGGUUGUCUCGGUAUUGCACUACAUCCGAGUACGGCCCCUUCCCC